Molecule: long non-coding RNA, 253 nt
Organism: Pseudoliparis swirei
Lineage: Eukaryota; Metazoa; Chordata; Actinopteri; Perciformes; Liparidae
Exons: 3
Source: RefSeq, a predicted model, not a curated record
AUGCCAAUGAAACAAGCCAGCAGGGAAAGAAUCAUGAAGGCCCGAGUGGCAUCCCAGUACGCUGUGGGUGAGGAGAUGAAACGACAUGAUAAUCACCAACACAAUAACAUGGACAAAAUACAACAUUGAUCAGGAAUGGGGAUCUGCUGGCGCACAUGCACAACACCAAAAAGUCAGAGAUUCCAAUAUUUCGGGGUUAUCAAAGCACAGAACAGCCCAAUAUUGUGCAGCGCAGGCAGGAAAGUUGUUUGAG